UACGUAGGGGGCAAGCGUUGUCCGGAUUUAUUGGGCGUAAAGAGCGUGUAGGCGGUUUGGUAGGUCCGCUGUGAAAACUCGAGCUCAACCUCGAGACGCCGGUGGAAACCAUCAGACUAGAGUCCGGAAGAGGAGAGUGGAAUUCCUGGUGUAGCGGUGAAAUGCGCAGAUAUCAGGAGGAACACCGGUGGCGAAGGCGGGGUCUCUGGGGCCGAAAACUGACGCUGGAGGAGCGAAAGCGUGGGGAGCGAACAGG
RNAcentral lists this ribosomal RNA (256 nucleotides) under uncultured bacterium. RNAcentral describes it as "partial 16S ribosomal RNA". It matches the Rfam family "Bacterial small subunit ribosomal RNA", at positions 524 to 776 of the family's 1533-position model. The record is from RNAcentral.